CCCAAACUGGGAUUAGAUACCCCACUAUGCUUAGCCCUAAAUCUAGAUAGUUAACUUAACAAACCUAUCCGCCAGAGAACUACUAGCAACAGCUUAAAACUCAAAGGACUUGGCGGUGCUUCACAUCCCUCUAGAGGAGCCUGUUCUAUAAUCGAUAAACCCCGAUAAACCUCACCACCUCUUGCUAAUACAGUCUAUAUACCGCCAUCCUUCAGCAAAC
This 220-nucleotide ribosomal RNA is filed under the name Urva edwardsii (Indian gray mongoose). RNAcentral describes it as "partial small subunit ribosomal RNA". Lineage: Eukaryota; Metazoa; Chordata; Mammalia; Carnivora; Herpestidae. The record is from RNAcentral.